GACUGCAAAAAGAACAUGGCCUAUGUCACACAUUCUACACAAUGGCUCAUGAAAUUUUCAAAUUUACUGAAUUUUUAGAAAAAAAAAUCAAAUUGACCUUUGUAAAAUAACACAUUUGACCCCUAUAAAAAAAUUUAAUAACACAAUUAACCUCUUAAUUUUUUUUUGACCCUCAUAAACUGAUUUCCUAGCUCCGCCACUGAUUCUACACAUUCAUCUCAUCUACACACGACCACAUCCAACACAUUCAUCUAUACCAUCCACGUCCACACGACCACAUCCUACACGUUCAUCUAUACCAUCCACAUCCAUCUAUAGCAUCCUCCACACCCACACCCUAUACAAUACAUAUUCUGAUAUUCAUCCCAGCUAUACACCCACGUUCUACCUAUAUCAUCCACAUCCUCACUAUCUCAUCUAAACACUUCACAUAUUUACCAGCCGUCACACUACGUCACACACACUACACUUAUUACAUCAUAUAAUUACUCUUACAAGCAUUCGUUGACACAUAAUCAAAGUAACACAUAAUCAAAGUAUGACACAUUUCUCUAAGGUUCAUAUCGACUUGUCUGUUCCAUAACAUUCUCUCCCACCAUCAUAUUACUCUCCGUCUCCAAACACCUUCCCAUCUAGGUCUUCCUUCCGUUAACACUUUCCCAUGUAGGUCUUUCCUCCAUUUGAGUUUGUGUUCUUCAUAAACAACAUCUG
This 711-nucleotide long non-coding RNA is filed under the name Capsella grandiflora. RNAcentral's name for it is "long non-coding RNA (CGRA_LNC000798)". The record is from RNAcentral. Lineage: Eukaryota; Viridiplantae; Streptophyta; Magnoliopsida; Brassicales; Brassicaceae.